RNAcentral lists this ribosomal RNA (271 nucleotides) under uncultured bacterium. RNAcentral's name for it is "partial 16S ribosomal RNA". It matches the Rfam family "Bacterial small subunit ribosomal RNA", at positions 524 to 794 of the family's 1533-position model. The record is from RNAcentral.
UACGUAGGGGGCAAGCGUUGUCCGGAUUUAUUGGGCGUAAAGAGCGUGUAGGCGGCCACGCAGGUCCGCUGUGAAACCUCGAGGCUCAACCUCGAGCUGUCGGUGGAAACCGCGUGGCUAGAGUCCGGAAGAGGAGAAUGGAAUUCCCGGUGUAGCGGUGAAAUGCGCAGAUAUCGGGAAGAACACCCGUGGCGAAGGCGGUUCUCUGGGACGGUACUGACGCUGAGACGCGAAAGCGUGGGGAGCGAACAGGAUUAGAAACCCGAGUAGU